This 497-nucleotide ribosomal RNA is filed under the name uncultured bacterium. RNAcentral's name for it is "partial 16S ribosomal RNA". It matches the Rfam family "Bacterial small subunit ribosomal RNA", at positions 28 to 507 of the family's 1533-position model. The record is from RNAcentral.
GAUGAACGCUGGCGGCGUGCCUAAUACAUGCAAGUCGAGCGAACGGACGAGAAGCUUGCUUCUCUGAUGUUAGCGGCGGACGGGUGAGUAACACGUGGAUAACCUACCUAUAAGACUGGGAUAACUUCGGGAAACCGGAGCUAAUACCGGAUGAUAUUUUGAGCCGCAUGGUUCAAAAGUGAAAGACGGUCUUGCUGUCACUUAUAGAUGGAUCCGCGCUGCAUUAGCUAGUUGGUAAGGUAACGGCUUACCAAGGCAACGAUGCAUAGCCGACCUGAGAGGGUGAUCGGCCACACUGGAACUGAGACACGGUCCAGACUCCUACGGGAGGCAGCAGUAGGGAAUCUUCCGCAAUGGGCGAAAGCCUGACGGAGCAACGCCGCGUGAGUUAUGAAGGUCUUCGGAUCGUAAAACUCUGUUAUUAGGGAAGAACAUAUGUGUAAGUAACUGUGCACAUCUUGACGGUACCUAAUCAGAAAGCCACGGCUAACUACGUG